Molecule: long non-coding RNA, 2683 nt
Organism: Herpailurus yagouaroundi (jaguarundi)
Lineage: Eukaryota; Metazoa; Chordata; Mammalia; Carnivora; Felidae
Exons: 2
Source: RefSeq, a predicted model, not a curated record
CAUUGCUUUCAAAUGUAUAAGCAGGAUUUUAUGAGAAGGCUGCUAAGAUUUUUCGAUCUAGCUUAAAAGGCCAAAUAAGAAGAAAUGGCUUUAUAAAAAGAAUGGAAAUAAUUUACUUGAAAGGAAGAGAAAAAUGUCCUUCGCUCAUGAUCAAACACGGAAACGAGGUGGUGAAGAUGUCAGUGGCAUUCUUAUCUCUGAGAACAGCAAAUGUGAGAGAUUUUAGAAACCAUAAAGUGAUCUGUAAGGUUCCCCUCUUUUUUAUUAUUCAAGAAGAGAAACAGAAAUAUACAUUCUGGACAACUGAAAUGUGCAUCUAUUUUUUUUUUUUUAAGGCAAGGUUGGAAGACCUUCCAAGGAAGGGCUCAUCAGUUACCUGAACUACACCGAAGCAGAUUUCUCACUUAUUUUGAAAACCACCUAUGAAUCUCUGUUAUUCUCAAAAUCAAUACAUAGGAAAAAAAAAAUUUUUGCCAUUGUUGCAAUGAUUUUAAUCUGCCAAACAUACAUCUUAGAAUUCUCAUAAGCAGUUACUUUUUCUGUUUGAUGGUUAAUUAAAAAAAAAAUUGUGGUAAAAUACACAUACCAUAACAUUUGCCAUCCUAUUUUUAAAUAUACAGUUCAGUAGUGUUAAGUACAUUCACAUGGUUGUGCAACCAAUCCCUAGAACUAUUUUUAUCUUGCAAACCUGAAACUCCAUACACGUUAAACACCAACUCCCCAUUUCUCUGUCCCACGGCCUCCCUGGCGGCCACCAUUCUACUUUCUGUCUCUGUGAGUUUGACUAUUCUGGAAACCUCAGGUACGAGAAAUCAUACAGUAUUUGUCUUUUGGUGACUGCGUUAUUUCACGGAGCGUAAUAUCCUCCAGGUGCAGAAGCAAUAUUUUAACUCUUAUUUACUUCUGUUUUAACAAGAUCACAGGCCUCUAGGCUGUGGGGUUCCCUGAGGCGUGGAUCCAUUGAGAAUGAUGAUAGGAUAUACCACGCCGUGAUCUGGCUCGUGAUUUUGUUGUUGCCACGGGACAGUUAGGAAAUGCACACGUGUCCGAUGUCCAGCUCAGGGACUGCUCUGGUUUACAUAGCCUUUCCUCCAAGACAAGGGUUACCUACAAAGCAUGGCUGCCCCUUCCCUGAAUGGAUCCCUAAGCUUGAAAGGCUAUGUUUGGGUCUACUAUAGGAAAUAUCAGAGUAUAGAGAUCACUAAUAAAAUCGAUCUAUUAAUUAAUUAGGUCAUCCGUAGAUGACAGCUUUACUGAGCAUGGUAGGUAUCUACCACAGGCAAAGCCAUUACAUCAGGUACCAAAAAGAAUAAGGCAUGAUCCUUGCACUGAGAAACUGGAAAUCUCAUUGAGAGAGAGGUAAACACAAUAAAAAAAAAACAUAAGGUAUAUGUUGUAGAGUGAAUAUUUGCUUCCCCCCCCAAAAUUCACACAUUAGAUCCUAACCUUACAGUGAUGGCACGUGGAGGUGGGCCUCUGGAGGUGAUUAAGUCAUAAAGGUGGAGCCCUCACGAAUGAGAUGAGUGACCUUGUAAAAGAGACCCCUGAGAGCUCCCCUGCCCACGCUGUAGCCACUUGGGGACACAGCAGAAAGACGGCUGUGUAUGAGCCAGGAAGAGGGUCCUCACCAGAUACCAAAUCUGUCUGCACUUUGAUCUUGGACUCCCAGCCUCCAGGACUGGAAACAGACCCACAAAAAGCAGAAGGAACGACCACGGACGACGAGGGAGCGGCCAGAGGAAUGUUUCCAAGCGGGAACAACGGUCAUAGAACUAUCAGCUGGAAGAAAGGAUAACCACAUACUUCUUUGCGUCGACUAAAAUUUUUGAGAAAUAUAAGAGGUAAGAAAGCGGGGAGGGAAAUCUGAGUAUACAGAGUCAAGCCCCCUUCAGAGAGUCUCUGAAUGCCACAGAUCCACUGGCCGCCGUCUGGGCUUACCAGCGCCCCCUGGAAGCUGCCGUGAUUAGCACAGGACCCGUGAUGUCAUCUGCACACUGAUGCCUUAGGAAGACCUCUGAGAGCACUGGUCAGAAGGCACGAAGGAACUACGGAAGGAGAAUGAGUAGGUGCAGAGUGAGAUGAUAAAUAAUCACCUACCUACCUGCCUGUGACAGUCUUGACGUGUACUUGACUCAUGCACUCACCCACCCGGCAAACAUCUUAGACCACCUUGUAUGUCCCAGGAGUCGUGCUGGGUUCUGGGGCUACAGUAGGAGAACCUGUCUCCGGGAGGCUUAUAGUCUAGAGCAGCUCCGUCGGGAAAUCCAGGGUGCAGUUUUCACUUAAAGCCCCUUAGUUCAGAUGAAGCACUUUGCAAUGUACCUCAGCCACGCGUGCCAGUGGCCGCUGUGCCGAACGGCACACGCAGGCCUGGGCGUAGCUGGCUGCGCCUUGAUCGCUGAAUAUGCAAAGGUCCCAACCCGUUUUUGAUUGGUCUGUUUGUAGCUUACCUCGCAGCCCUCGUAAAGUCACAAACUACGUAGGAAAAAUCACAAAUAAUUACUAUUUUACCUAGUUAGAUGUACUGUCAUGAACCUUCCAGUCCUCCUACCACAGACUAAGGUGUUGCUUCUAUGACUGUUCUCUCCUCUACCACACCCACAGAAAUCAAUAUAAAAUUCCCCCGAACCCCAGCCCACUGUCUAUCGGCAUCUCUGGCUAUACCAUAGUCUCUUAAAAAAAA